Long non-coding RNA from Oreochromis aureus, 883 nucleotides. The record is from Ensembl. NCBI's taxonomy places the organism in Eukaryota, Metazoa, Chordata, Actinopteri, Cichliformes, Cichlidae.
GUUUCUUUGCAGAAAUUUGCCUCCACAUUUCCAGUGAUGUGAUUGGCUCAGGUUGAAGAAGACUUUAACAUGCUAACAGUUAACUUGCUAACAGUAAAAAAAUAUAGCAGCAGUGAACUCUGUUUGUCUUGUUUCUGUUUGUGGUCAGCAGCAUGAGCUUCAUCCAGGUUCUGCUGAUAUUUCAUAGAUAGAUAAAUAUUUGUUUACAUAAUUUAUGAAAUACAUCCAUAUUUGUCUUCAUCCAUUAAAUGCUAAAAGAGCAGCUGAAGAAAAGCUGUAACAUUGAAAGCUCACCAAUUCUAAUGUCAUUUUGUUUUGAAAUGUUGGAUAUUAAAAGACAUAGAAACGUAUCUGAAACAUCUAAUAAGUGACCCUGCUCUGUAAAGAAGAAAAGGAGGAAGUCCACAACAUAAAUAGACCCAGGUUACUGAGAAAGGAAACAACACAGAGGCACAUUACUUCGGUGACUUUAACGAGGCCGUGUGUUAUGAGGUCUUCAUCUGAAAAAGGCUUGCCAUGUCUUGCGAUGAGUUGGGCGACCUCAUAACUGCUAUUGGAGCCUUUUCCUGGACCUUUUGAGCAUGAAAAAAAUACUGUUGCUGACAAUUCAGGUUUCUGAAGACUAUGGGAUGAACUGGAACGAGCAUCACAUUCACCAUGGAGGAACUUCAUCAGUACCUGACAUUCAGCUGGCCCGUGAGCUGUCAGAUGAAGAAACUAAUACGAAUAAACUAAUAAUAAGAAUAAUUAAAUCUGAGACUUUGUUUCACUGUACGAUGUAACAGUGAUGGCAAUAUAACUGUUGUUGUUCAGCAGAACAGUGUCCAGGAUGUUGGCUGUUAUAUUGUUUUACAUUUCAAAAUAAAAGUUGGGCUGAUUUAAA